CAGGUCUUGACAUCCUCUGAAAACCCUAGAGAUAGGGCUUCUCCUUCGGGAGCAGAGUGACAGGUGGUGCAUGGUUGUCGUCAGCUCGUGUCGUGAGAUGUUGGGUUAAGUCCCGCAACGAGCGCAACCCUUGAUCUUAGUUGCCAUCAUUAAGUUGGGCACUCUAAGGUGACUGCCGGUGACAAACCGGAGGAAGGUGGGGAUGACGUCAAAUCAUCAUGCCCCUUAUGACCUGGGCUACACACGUGCUACAAUGGACGGUACAAAGAGCUGCAAGACCGCGAGGUGGAGCUAAUCUCAUAAAACCGUUCUCAGUUCGGAUUGUAGGCUGCAACUCGCCUACAUGAAGCUGGAAUCGCUAGUAAUCGCGGAUCAGCAUGCCGCGGUGAAUACGUUCCCGGGCCUUGUACACACCGCCCGUCACACCACGAGAGUUUGUAACACCCGAAGUCGGUGGGGUAACCUUUUUGGAGCCAGCCGCCUAAGGUGGGACAGAUGAUUGGGGUG
This 507-nucleotide ribosomal RNA is filed under the name uncultured bacterium. Its description in RNAcentral is "bacterial SSU rRNA". It matches the Rfam family "Bacterial small subunit ribosomal RNA", at positions 975 to 1482 of the family's 1533-position model. The record is from RNAcentral.